UGACGUACGGGCCUAUAAGGCCGGCAUGAUCCUUUAUAUACUCAAAACAUAGGCCGACAAGGCUAUCAAAGAAUCUGUAUACAUGACAUAUGUCUACAAGCCUCUAAGAAUACAUAAUAUCAUAAAGGUCGGGACAGAGCCCCGCCAUACCAAACAAUACACAUCUAAAUUAUACUGACCAAACAAGUAACUCCGGAGCAAAUGGAGUACACUAACAUCUUCCGCUGAGCUGAUCGCCUACUUGGAGGACUCUCGACCUGUCUAUCGAGACCUGCAGGCAUGAAACGCAGUGUCCCCAAGCAAAAGAGACGUCAGUACAAAUAAUGUACUGAGUAUGUAAGGAAUGAAAAUCAGUAGACAAUAGACAUGAGAGAAAUAUGGAGUAAAAGACACGACAUGUAAAUCUGAAUAGCUCUGUGAAAUCCUUUAAUAUUUAAAAUGUCAUCAUGUCGUGCAUAGAUACAUGUGUUCAUAACAUCAUCAAGCCUACGAGGGCAUCCCAUCAUAUCACCUCGGUCACUAUGGGCAAAAUCAUCAGCAUAUACCAGCUGAUCAGGUAGUGGUUCGUAUAUAAUGCCAUAACCUUUCUCAUAUCCCAUAUACAUAUAUAUACGUGUAUAUAACGCCAUCUGGUCAUGGGUCAAUGUGCAUAUGUAAAUGUAUGAAAUGCAUGUGAAAAUAUGUUAAUAAAAUCUCUCGAUACGUCAUAAGACCAUUAUGCCUCUGACUAAUAUCAUGAAAUAAAUUUUACCAACUUGCGUAUUUUUGAGACCCAUGAACAAAUGAUAGAAUAAUAUGACACAUGGGGAAUCAAGAACAUAAUCACCUCUAGUAUUUCUACGAAUAGAGUCGUUUGUGUCGUAUAGAUCAUGCCAAAAGAAAGAAGGGAUAGCCUUAACAUACCUGAACCGAUUCUCUUGACAAUCCCUCCAAUACAUGUUGAUUGCAACAAAAUAUGUAACGACGGAUCGAAGUAAGAAAAAUUCUACAUAAUAUUCUUUGAGAAAAAUUGCAUCGUACUUUCUUAGAAUUGCAAAAUUCCGUUGCUAUAACAUUACGUAGUAUUUGUAUGAAAGAUCGAAACAACAUCACGUUGCAAGAUGAUAUGGUAUUCUUUCUUGAAAUGUUGAUAAAGA
Molecule: long non-coding RNA, 1136 nt
Filed under: Nicotiana tabacum (common tobacco)
Lineage: Eukaryota; Viridiplantae; Streptophyta; Magnoliopsida; Solanales; Solanaceae
Description: long non-coding RNA (NTAB_LNC000664)
Source: RNAcentral